GGCGGAAGCGACUAGAAAUAUAUACACAAAAUGAAUUCCUCCCAAAACCUGGAAGUCACAAGUACAGAGCUGCAAACAAAAGUACAAGUCCUAAAAGUGGACCACAGAAACAAGCUGUCUAAAAAGGCAAAAGACAAGCAAAAGUAAGUACAGAAGGAGACGGGCAAAUCCAGGAUGUUGUGUGCUUACCCUUGCCUCCGAUCACGACCGCAGCUGGCUCGAAUUAAUGUCGAUAAAUAAUACUCGGACCUACAUCACGAAAAUAGAUGCAGAGUGUAGUAUGAGUACCAAAACAACAGGUACCCAGUAGGCAUCAGGCCGACUGAGCAAGAUAAGCAAAAGUGAACUGAAAUGCAAAUAAAGGGUCACAAUCAAGGGUAAAAAAGUAGUAAAUGUGGGUAUGUACACGAGCGUAUAGGCAACAAAGACAAGGAAUCUAACUAACUUUGUCGGACUCCCAUAAACCCGACGGGUACGCUCGUGCACAAUAAAAGAAACCACCUGCACGGAACCCCAUAAGCCCGGCAGAUACACCGGCAGUUGAAGUAAAAUAAUGCAGCUAGAAGGUCUAUCACAAUAUUACCAAUUUCCGGACGUUAACUGAACCAUUCCCAAUUAUAUUCCAAGAUCUCAUUACGUCCCGGACUUUAACCGGAAUCUCUUCAACCUCCAAAACCUCAACCUACAGAUGAGAGUAAUCAAGACUAAACUGAAGCUUCAGUGAGGAAUUGGGAAUACACCACGUGCAAGCUGGACCACGGACUCGAACCGGGUACUAUAGCUAAUGAGUCAACCUAUAUGGGCUGGACCACGGACUCGAACCGGGUACUAUAGCUAAUGAGUCAACCUAUAUGGGCUGGACCACGGACUCGAACCGGGUACUAUAGCUAAUGAGUCAACCUAUAUGGGCUGGACCACGGACUCGAACCGGGUACUAUAGCUAAUGAGUCAACCUAUAUGGGCUGGACCACGGACUCGAACCGGGUACUAUAGCCAAAACCAGAUCACAGGUAAGCUGGACCACGGACUCUAACCGGGUACUGUAGCUAAAACCAGAUCACAGGUAAGCUGGACCACGGACUCUAACCGGGUACUGUAGCUAAAACCAGAUCACAGGUAAGCUGGACCACGGACUCUAACCGGGUACUGUAGCUAAAACCAGAUCACAGGUAAGCUGGACCACGGACUCUAACCGGGUACUGUAGCUAAAACCAGAUCACAGGUAAGCUGGACCACGGAAAACUCUAACCGGGUACUGUAGCCGAUAGAAAAGCAGGGCAUUAUAGAUACAAGGUCAUAAGCUGAGUUACCGCCUAGCUAAGGCUCAAACUAUCAGACUCAAGACUGCUAUAUCAGUCUACAAGGAGCUGACCGUCCGAAACGACGUCGGAAAAAGUUCUACUGCCCAACGGCAUCCGAAAUCUCGCAAGUCUAUGGCAACACUAGUCUAAGCCUAGACUAAGGCCAAACAUACUUCAAAUCAAUAUUAUCAUAUACACCACAAGGUACGGAUGUUCAAUAAUAUCAAGAGACAUGCUGUCAUAAUCAAACACUUUCCCGAAAUAAGGUCUAAGGCAGGAAUUAUAGAAAUUUAGCAUGCUCGACACCCGAACCCCUCCAUACUCAAGCAAAUCAAUAAACAAUUGACGGUCUCUAAAUGCUUCCCCACUAUCAAAAGGUUAAUCACCUCAUCAUUACGAAUAUGUUGACACUAAAAUUAUAUUUUUCGGAGACGGACCCAAAAUUGGGUCUAAAACGGGAUUGUGGGACCCACAAUUGGAAUCCCGAAAACGAAUCCGUGAAACGUCCCAAAUACUUUACUAAACUAAUACCCCAAAAUUUAGCACAAAAAGAUGCCUAAAACAUAGCAAAUCAACCCCCAACAAUUAAAAUCAUUAAUAAGUCUUGACUUACGACUUGGCAGCCCCUUGAUCACCAAUUUCUGGAAAAAUGAGACCCUUCCAACCCAAAAAGAUUAUACCACGACGAUCCUUGCGAAAAACUCUACAAGUUACCCUCAAGAAUGACUCAAAACGGACCUAAGAUGAUCAAGAUCUAACCUUUCAAAGUUCAACAAAAAUUCAUUCCGGAAAUCACUCUAGUAGUAGCUAAAUUCAAUUCCUUACCUCAAACGAAGCCUCCCCUAACGUUUCUGAGCUCACCUCUAGAUUCCCCACGGAAUUCUCUUGAAAUUAGCCUUUUGAAUCACCUAAUUUGAGCUUAAAAUGGAGGAGAUAUCUAUGUUUGAAGAUGAG
Molecule: long non-coding RNA, 2255 nt
Filed under: Solanum tuberosum (potato)
Lineage: Eukaryota; Viridiplantae; Streptophyta; Magnoliopsida; Solanales; Solanaceae
Description: long non-coding RNA (STUB_LNC003927)
Source: RNAcentral